UUAGCUAGCGACACCCAUGCCAAUGUCGAUCGAAGUCGAGGACGCGGAGGUCGUCGAGCUAGCACCGCCUGGACGCAGGUGAGGUGCGCGACCUGCAGGAGCACCGGGGACAUCUUCGGUCCAUCCAUGUAGCCGAGGAGGACGACCUCCGCGUCCUCCUCGGCUAGAUGCAUGCAUGGACGCUGCGCUCACGCCCAUCUCGUCCAGCCUCGCCGACCCGGCUCUCCUCCUCUCCAUCAAGCUAGGGCGCCGCUAUCGUACGUGCGCCAGACGGCUACAUGCAUGACGCUGCGGUCGGUGCGGAACGCCUACGCCAUGGGCAAGGUGCGGAUGGUGGCCACGCUAUCGUUAAGAACCGCGGACCCAGCAGCCGCGGUCGAGCAGGGCAGAUUCGUGCUUUGGACCAUGCAUGGCGCCCGGCAUGUGGUACGUCGAGGUCGCCGUCGGCUGGCGUACAUGUAUUCUAAAAUCUAUGACAGAACGACGACGGAGCACGAUCGAUGGGCAGAAGAAGCUGGCACUGUGGCAGGCCGGCCAUUGUGUCCCUGAGCAAGGGAAAUAGCUAGCGGCGCGAUGGUGCUUCCAGAUGCAUGCUCUCUCCGGCGGUGCAGAUGCCAAUGUCAGCAGCGGCGUUCUAGACAUCUGCUCUCUCCAAUCGUUCGGGAAGGCCGAAGGUGUAGGCAUGGCAUAGGUAAGGCCAGGCCUUUUAUUUUUGCCGUAUAACUAUAUAGGCCUGUACCAAAAUUUGGGGCCCCCAAAAAAAUUGGGCCCUGUGCGGCCGCACACUUUGCACUCCUGCCGGCCCGGGCCUGGACAUGCCAGCCAAACAGGACAGCUUGCGUGAGGGAGAAAUGUCUUCCAUGCUAUUGCAUGCGGCUCCACUUCUGGCGUUUGCACUUUGCAGAGUGAAUUUAUUUAAUUCAUGGUCCACCAUCAGAGAUGUAUUUUCAUACGUACUCAAAACAUGACAGCGGUUGUUUAGCAGCAAUAGUGAUGAAUUGGUGGAGGUUGGUGAUGGUGUAAGGAGUAAGGUGCUGAGCUGCUGCGUGCUGUUCGUGCUGCUGCAGUUGGAGAGGCUGCUCACGCUACAAGGAAAUGGCAGAAAGAUCGUUGCUCAGUAGGGACGUUGAGAAGGCGCACCGUGCGGCGAAGCUAGAGGCAAGCCCUAAUAGCCUCCCCACACUGGUGACACGCGGGGCUAAUCAAAAUUGGCAGAUACACCCGGUUGGGUUGAGAGGUUGAAGUGGGCUGGACUUCUACCUUUCCCGCGGUUGGUUGAGGCCACUAUAUCGGAGGUCAUCGGUGAGCGAGUAGGCACGCCGAUCAAGCGCCUUCAGUAUGACCACUCCCUGCUAACCAGCCUGGUGGAUCGGUGGAGACCCGAAACUCACACGUUCCACUUUCGCUGGGGAGAGAUGGCCCAUACUCUCCAGGACGUGUCUUUCUUACUGGGCCUACCGUUGGCGGGUCAGGCCACAGGCCCCCUGGCAGAACCAACGGAUUAGGAUGAUGAAAUGGCUGCACGUUUUCAGGGAACUCGUGCGGGUCAGCCUGAUUUUCUCUAUGAGGACCAUGGCCCAGAGUGUGACUGGUUACUCAACUUCGAGGCUCCUUUCAUGGGAGGAGGAGGAUACAGGCAGGGAUACACGCAGCAGACUGCUUCCAAUCCUUCAUGAGGAGCUAGUGAUCAGGAUGCUGAGCACAUGAAGUAUUACAUCACGCAGCAGAACUAUGUCGAUAUGCAGACUCCUCCACCAGAGCCCAUACAGGAGACGCAGUACGACCCCGAGUCCGGGUCCUGGAUCCCUGCUCGCAUCAUCAGACCCCCGGACAGGUUCGGUUGGACACCCCGUGCUACGCCACCCGCACGAUAGCUCAGACGCCAUCCAUAGUAUCAGACAUUUAUGUAUGCAUGACCUAUGUAUCUGACAUUUAUGUAUGCAUCACCUAUGUAUCAGACAUUUAUGUAUGCAUUACCAAUGUAUCUAACAUUUAUGUAUGCAUCACCUAUGGUUCGGCUAACUGACACAAUUAUUUUCUGCAGGUACUAUAGCGGAAUUUAAAAAUGGC
Molecule: long non-coding RNA, 2070 nt
Organism: Lolium perenne
Lineage: Eukaryota; Viridiplantae; Streptophyta; Magnoliopsida; Poales; Poaceae
Source: RefSeq, a predicted model, not a curated record